This 515-nucleotide ribosomal RNA is filed under the name uncultured bacterium. Its description in RNAcentral is "partial 16S ribosomal RNA". It matches the Rfam family "Bacterial small subunit ribosomal RNA", at positions 28 to 523 of the family's 1533-position model. The record is from RNAcentral.
GACGAACGCUGGCGGCGUGCCUAAUACAUGCAAGUCGAGCGGACUUUCAAGAAGCUUGCUUUUUGAAAGUUAGCGGCGGACGGGUGAGUAACACGUGGGCAACCUGCCUGUAAGACGGGGAUAACUCCGGGAAACCGGGGCUAGUACCGGAUAAUAUCUUUCUUCGCAUGAAGGAGGGUUGAAAGGCGGCGCAAGCUGCCGCUUGCAGAUGGGCCCGCGGCGCAUUAGCUAGUUGGUGAGGUAACGGCUCACCAAGGCGACGAUGCGUAGCCGACCUGAGAGGGUGAUCGGCCACACUGGGACUGAGACACGGCCCAGACUCCUACGGGAGGCAGCAGUAGGGAAUCUUCCGCAAUGGACGAAAGUCUGACGGAGCAACGCCGCGUGAGCGAAGAAGGUCUUCGGAUCGUAAAGCUCUGUCGUCAGGGAAGAACAAGUACCGUUCGAAUAGGGCGGUACCUUGACGGUACCUGACCAGAAAGCCACGGCUAACUACGUGCCAGCCGCCGCGGUAA